RNAcentral lists this ribosomal RNA (254 nucleotides) under uncultured bacterium. Its description in RNAcentral is "partial 16S ribosomal RNA". It matches the Rfam family "Bacterial small subunit ribosomal RNA", at positions 524 to 776 of the family's 1533-position model. The record is from RNAcentral.
UACGUAGGGGGCGAGCGUUGUCCGGAAUCAUUGGGCGUAAAGAGCGUGUAGGCGGCCAGGUAGGUCUGCUGUGAAAACUGGAGGCUUAACCUCCAGACGUCGAUGGAAACCGUAUGGCUAGAGUCCGGAAGAGGAGAGUGGAAUUCCCGGUGUAGUGGUGAAAUGCGUAGAUAUCGGGAGGAACACCAGUGGCGAAGGCGGCAUCCUGGACUGGUCCUGACACUCAGGAGCGAAAGCGUGGGGGAGCGAUCCGG